Molecule: long non-coding RNA, 1616 nt
Filed under: Numida meleagris (helmeted guineafowl)
Lineage: Eukaryota; Metazoa; Chordata; Aves; Galliformes; Numididae
Description: lncRNA (ENSNMEG00000019587.1)
Source: RNAcentral
GGUUGGAUGGGGCCUUGAGCAGCCUGAUCUGGUGGGUGGCAACCAGCCCAUGGCAGGGAGCUGGGACUGGCUCCCUUCAACCCAAACAAUUCUGUGAUUCUAUAAUUCUUUAAUCACACUGAGACAGGGCAUAGCCUCUCCAAGGCUGUGGAUAGCCUUCUCACAGCCAAGUAUAGCCCUCAUUUUUGUACAUCAUUUUGAUGGCAUAGUCAUCAUUUUUGCAUUUUGCACAUAUGGGACAGCCUGUUGCACGGCUAUGCAAAUACUUAUUUCAAGGUCACCGACGUUCACCCCUCUUUACCCCCUACACCUGAUUUUUCUCACCAGAGGAGAGUGCUGAGGAAUUCUGCUGUGAUUAAUAACCCUCUCUAUCCCCCUGGGCUUAUUUUUUUCCCUCCAUUUUUAAUUUUACAUUCUGCUUACCAGCUGCUCUUGUUCAUUAGAAAAACAAACUCUCUCUAGCUCUCAUUAGCGCCAUAUGUCUGCUGGUUAUUUGAAAAAAGAAUGUAAAACAUAUUUAAGGGAUUAGUCAGAUCAUGAUAGGCAAAAAGCUCAAAAAGAAAAAUGCAAAGGCAAUGCACAUCUGAUUGUUGCAUCAUUGCUCCAGCUUCUCACAGCUAUGCACGACCCUGGUGUUCCCUCCCUGAUCCACUCGUGUUUUCACAGACGCAGUGAAACCACAGCCAUUUCCCCAGCUCUCACCAAUUCCCCAGCAGAUAAUUUUAUCCCAUUCUCUUAAUUUUGAGGAAGCCACAACUGACCAGAAGCAGCUUUCAAGCAUAAGCCAAGGGCUGGUGCUAUCUGGGGACAGCUGUUCCCCAAACGCUGGUGAGGUUUCUCAGGGCUGUCCCCAUGAUGCAUUCCCAGAGCUAAGCCCCACAGGACACAGCUGGCUGCUGUCUCCUGCCUUCCUCUCUGCAACACUCUCCUACAGAACAGCUCUCAGUAUGCAACACUUGAAGCACUUUUUUCCUGAAAUCUCUAUUUCCAAGUCUAAACUUAUUUAUUUAAUUUCAACUCCAAGCAUAGAAAAUCACUUUUCUUCAGGACACAAUAAGGCAAAAACUCUAACCUAUUUCUUUUCUCCAGCAGCUCCUGUCAUGCAACAAACUCCUUUCCGGAGAAAAAUAGCAAGCCAUUAGCUGCCUGAGCAGAGACUUCCUGCCCGGAGGACACGGGGAGCAGGAACGGCUCUAAGUGGAUCCUCUGCAGCAGAAAAUCUCGUUUAGAAUAAUAACCCAAAGUUGUGUCUCCUGAGAGGCUGCUCAUUUGAUGGAGGUGGGUCGAUUUCAUUCUCCCCUGAAGCACAUCUGGAAAAACUGAGGCACAUGAGACAUUAAAGGCAAUGCAUGAAAAUCUUGAAAAGGCAGGGAAAAAAAGUCCAAUUCUGAUCAAGCACUCAGCAUCCUACACGGAAGAUCAGGCUCUGGACAACCUGAUCUAGCUGUAGGUAUCCCUGUUCAUUGCAGGGGAGUCAGACUAGGUGGCCUUUAAGGGCCCAUUCCAACUCAAAUAAUUUUGUGAUUCUAUGACUUCUUACAGUACAUGAAACAGAAUUGGUGGAUACAUUGCAAUAGUUAUGGGGAUUAGGCAGAACACUAAGGUAGAAAUAUUUU